This 427-nucleotide ribosomal RNA is filed under the name uncultured bacterium. RNAcentral's name for it is "partial 16S ribosomal RNA". It matches the Rfam family "Bacterial small subunit ribosomal RNA", at positions 355 to 774 of the family's 1533-position model. The record is from RNAcentral.
UGGGGAAUAUUGCACAAUGGGCGCAAGCCUGAUGCAGCCAUGCCGCGUGUAUGAAGAAGGCCUUCGGGUUGUAAAGUACUUUCAGCGGGGAGGAAGGCGAUAAGGUUAAUAACCUUGUCGAUUGACGUUACCCGCAGAAGAAGCACCGGCUAACUCCGUGCCAGCAGCCGCGGUAAUACGGAGGGUGCAAGCGUUAAUCGGAAUUACUGGGCGUAAAGCGCACGCAGGCGGUCUGUCAAGUCGGAUGUGAAAUCCCCGGGCUCAACCUGGGAACUGCAUUCGAAACUGGCAGGCUAGAGUCUUGUAGAGGGGGGUAGAAUUCCAGGUGUAGCGGUGAAAUGCGUAGAGAUCUGGAGGAAUACCGGUGGGGAAGGCGGCCCCCUGGACAAAGACUGACGCUCAGGUGCGAAAGCGUGGGGAGCAAACA